Long non-coding RNA from Phlebotomus papatasi, 795 nucleotides. RefSeq lists it as uncharacterized. The record is from RefSeq and is a predicted model, not a curated record. The transcript has 3 exons. Lineage: Eukaryota; Metazoa; Arthropoda; Insecta; Diptera; Psychodidae.
UGCGCACGUUCUCUUGGGCCAUUUUCGAGGAAUCGAAUCUCCAUCCCGAGUGAUUUAUGAGUGCACCCAUCUGCCUGUUGUGGAGGACGUUCCCGUGGCUGCAACUAGUGCGUGCAAUAAACACUCCAUGAGUGUCCCAACUGGGGGCCACCACAUGAGCCAUGUGCGAGUCAAUGAGUGGGAGAGAUCCAAUGGUGCUCUUUGCCAAUUCCAGUGGAUCUGAUGGCUGUUGGGAAAAGUGCCAUUUGGAACUCGUUUUGUACCCUCCAUGUCUUUUAUCUCGUUCAAGCUAAAAGAAAUGAGACGUGAGAAUAUAAACAAUAAAUUUACCACAAUCCACAGAUAAAAAUUUGAUGUGGGAGCUUCCAACAGAUAAUUUCAUCUGAUCAACCAAUUAGUGACAAAUUCUGCCCAAGAGAUCUUCAACAGAACGUAGAGGCGUCUCAGGGCAUGUUUUUCACACUUGAGUCUCGUAAAACGCCAGGAUUUCGUGGCUCCUCUUCACUCUUCAUCUCAUCAUGUGUUUUGUUUACACCCACAGAAUUGGGAAUUCAGACGCACAAUUCAAUUACAAAUUGAGCUUAUUAAGAGGAGACCCAAGGAGGAUGUGUACUUUUUUUCCUAUAUUGAAUCAGAGUAGAGAUUGUGAAGGUGAAUAGUUUUAUAGAUUUGAUAAUAAUUGUUAAAAUUGACAUUAGUUCCAAUAUAAAACUCGCUGAUAGACCCGGUGGGGGACUGUACAUUUUACUGCUCGAACUCAAAGAGAGUGUAGUUAUACAAUCCGCUCUUUUUCAA